GGGAAUCUACCCAACCCUACGGAAUAACGCAUGGAAACGUGUGCUAAUACCGUAUACGCCCUUCGGGGGAAAGAUUUAUCGGGGAUGGAUGAGCCCGCGUUGGAUUAGCUAGUUGGUGGGGUAAAGGCCUACCAAGGCGACGAUCCAUAGCUGGUCUGAGAGGAUGAUCAGCCACAUUGGGACUGAGACACGGCCCAAACUCCUACGGGAGGCAGCAGUGGGGAAUAUUGGACAAUGGGCGCAAGCCUGAUCCAGCCAUGCCGCGUGAGUGAUGAAGGCCCUAGGGUUGUAAAGCUCUUUCACCGGUGAAGAUAAUGACGGUAACCGGAGAAGAAGCCCCGGCUAACUUCGUGCCAGCAGCCGCGGUAAUACGAAGGGGGCUAGCGUUGUUCGGAAUUACUGGGCGUAAAGCGCACGUAGGCGGAUAUUUAAGUCAGGGGUGAAAUCCCGGGGCUCAACCCCGGAACUGCCUUUGAUACUGGGUAUCUAGAGUCCAGAAGAGGUGAGUGGAAUUCCGAGU
Molecule: ribosomal RNA, 520 nt
Filed under: uncultured bacterium
Lineage: Bacteria
Description: bacterial SSU rRNA
Rfam family: Bacterial small subunit ribosomal RNA
Source: RNAcentral